GUGAAUAUGCUUGUGAAGGGCUAUACCUUGCUGAAGGAUUGUAACUUGGUGAGGUUGGACUGUAAGUUGGUGAGGUGGGACUGUAUCCAGGCGAAGUUGGGCUGUAGGCAGGUGAGGUUGGGCUAUAUGAUGGCGAGGUUGGGCUGUACGAUGGAGAGGUUGGGCUAUAUGAAGGUGAGGUUGGGCUGUAAGAUGGAGAGGUUGGGCUGUAAGAGGGUGAGGUAGGGCUGUAAGAGGGUGAUGUGGGGCUGUAAGACGGAGACGUGGGGCUGUAAGCCGGAGAGGUUGGGCUAUACGCAGGUGAGGUUGGGCUGUAUGCUGGAGAAGUUGGGCUGUAGCUCGGAGAUGUAGGGCUGUAGCUCGGAGAUGUGGGGCUAUAGCUAGGAGAUGUUGGGCUGUAGGAAGGAGACGUUGGUGAAUAAGAUGGGCUUGUGGGAGAAUACGCAGGGCUUGUAGGACUAUAUCCAGGAGAACUAGGACUAUAUGUUGGGGACGUAGGGCUGUAACCAGGGGAAGUAGGACUGUACCCAGGUGAGGUGGGGCUGUAUCCAGGAGAUGACGGGCUGUAUCCAGGAGAUGAAGGGCUGUACCCUGGAGAUGAUGUAGGAGAAAACGCCAUCCCGCCCACAUACGGAGAAAACUGAGCAUCUGAAACAGGAGAUAACCGAAGAUUUGGGCUCAGCAUAUAAUUUGGUGACAUCAUGCCAUCAUGAUAUGGGGUCCCUGAGAUGGGUGAACGGCCAGGAGUCAUGCCAAACUCCAGUCCACCUUCCAUAUAACUGGGCAGAGGGAUCUCAAUAGCUUGUUUAGCAUCUCUUCAUUCAUAUACAAAGCACAAUCACCUGUGCCAAUAGGUGCAAGCUGUCCUAACAUGAUAUUCUCAGUUACACCCCUGAGGUAAUCUGUUUCUGCAUACACAGCAGCAUCAAGAAGAAUGUCCACUGUUUCUUCAAAGGAGCAUCUCAUCAUGGGGCCAGUAUCGUUGCGAUUGAUACCAUGACGGGUGAUGGCCAUCAAGUGACCACGAUAUGUCAUGGUAUCACACAAUAUAGCCAAAUGUCUAUAGUUCACGUAAGACCCAUCAAAUGAUAUGACAACACGCAACUCAUCCAGCAAGGCUUUGCGAACUGCCUCAAUGCCAAGAACUUCAAUAACUUCAAUCAAAUGAUUGCUUGUUGUCCUACUUGCAUCUACAUCUUCAUGGCAAAUUACAGCUAAAAGAUUAACACCUUCGGUGUCAAGCAUCCACUCAUUCUCAGCCUUGAAGCCUUCAUUUUCAUCAAACUUAUUUACCUUGCCAUUCUUUAUGAACACCUUAUUGAUAUCUGGUAUGCCUCGAAGAGCCAUUUCUGUAAGCAUGUUACCCUCAAUCUUUUUGAGGAAGACAUCAUCCUCAGCAGAUUCAUCAUUCAACUCACCUUUAGGGGCUUCAUCAUUCAUAAUACGAAUACGAAGGAUAAGCUUUUCAGCAUUAUCAUCAUUAAAUAUGCACGUUAGAUCACUAUCAAAUUCAGCAUUAAUCUUAUGGGAAAUAUCAGCCAUGUUGAGUUUCUUAUCCACCAUCAUUUCUCUGUUUAACUCUAUGCGAAGCAACCACGGAGAGAUCUUGUCGGGGUCAACAUCAUCAUCUGGCAUCUCAAAGUAGGACGUCACAAAUUCAACAUCUUCCUCAAUAAUAGUGCUCUUAGGAUCUGGAUCGUACCAUACCUCUGUUGCUUGUGUUACACUCCGCAAGGUUGUAUACUCCAGAGCGCACUGGACAUUUUUGGCCUUCUCCUUAGUUUUGCUUACACCAGGCUUCAAGUAUACCGAGAGNAGGUAAUCUGUUUCUGCAUACACAGCAGCAUCAAGAAGAAUGUCCACUGUUCUCAAAGGAGCAUCUCAUCAUGGGGCCAGUAUCGUUGCGAUUGAUACCAUGACGGGUGAUGGCCAUCAAGUGACCACGAUAUGUCAUGGUAUCACACAAUAUAGCCAAAAUGUCUAUAGUUCACGUAAGACCCAUCAAAUGAUAUGACAACACGCAACUCAUCCAGCAAGGCUUUGCGAACUGCCUCAAUGCCAAGAACUUCAAUAACUUCAAUCAAAUGAUUGCUUGUUGUCCUACUUGCAUCUACAUCUUCAUGGCAAAUUACAGCUAAAAGAUUAACACCUUCGGUGUCAAGCAUCCACUCAUUCUCAGCCUUGAAGCCUUCAUUUUCAUCAAACUUAUUUACCUUGCCAUUCUUUAUGAACACCUUAUUGAUAUCUGGUAUGCCUCGAAGAGCCAUUUCUGUAAGCAUGUUACCCUCUAAUCUUUUUGUAGGAAGACAUCAUCCUCAGCAGAUUCAUCAUUCAACUCACCUUUAGGGGCUUCAUCAUUCAUAAUACGAAUACGAAGGAUAAGCUUUUCAGCAUUAUCAUCAUUAAAUAUGCACGUUAGAUCACUAUCAAAUUCAGCAUUAAUCUUAUGGGAAAUAUCAGCCAUGUUGAGUUUCUUAUCCACCAUCAUUUCUCUGUUUAACUCUAUGCGAAGCAACCACGGAGAGAUCUUGUCGGGGUCAACAUCAUCAUCUGGCAUCUCAAAGUAGGACGUCACAAAUUCAACAUCUUCCUCAAUAAUAGUGCUCUUAGGAUCUGGAUCGUACCAUACCUCUGUUGCUUGUGUUACACUCCGCAAGGUUGUAUACUCCAGAGCGCACUGGACAUUUUUGGCCUUCUCCUUAGUUUUGCUUACACCAGGCUUCAAGUAUACCGAGAGAGAGGGUGUUUUAAUUUUCUUAGCAACAUUAAUAAUCUCCCUCAACCUUGGAACACCUAAAGUUAACAAUUCUUGGCACUCACACCAGCAUAGUGAAAUGUAUUGAGGGUCAUCUGUGUAGCAGGUUCACCAAUGGAUUGUGCAGCAACACAUCCUAUCAUUUCACCAGCAGCAACAAGUGACUGAAGAAAACGGGAUUCUAUCUCGCCAACUACCCAGUCAAAAGCCUCACGGGUAAGUCUGUACUCCUUCAGGACCCUUUUACUUGCUAAAGCACUACGAAGCAAUAUAUUGAAGAAAAGAGUAGCAUUCUUCUGUGCUUCCAAACUCAGAUAAUCAUCACCAACAACCACCUUAAGCCUUUCUUGUAACUUAUCAACAGCUUCUACAAUCUCCAUUGGAUGCAUAUCAGACGGUCUCCGAAAAUCAACUCUAAAGGUCUUCUGUGCAUUCAAAACAAGCCUCUUGAUGUUGACAGGGAGGGGCCAAGAAUUGUCACCCGUGGUGGCAAUCUCUGUUCCAAGUUGAUACCUAUCGGCUUCAAGUUUCUGAACCUCUGCAUCAAACACACUGCGGAUUUCACGAAUCGUUUUCAGAUCUUCCACAGCUUCAGGUAACAUAUAAUUAGGAUUCCAGUUUGGGUGAUCAAUCUCAUAUUUGUACAUGUCAUUGAAAUCCGAUCUCUUCAACUUCAGUGAUUCCAAAGGCUGUGAUUCAAUCCAAACUGCAUCCAUACCAUCUUCCCCGUACAGAAACUGAAUCACAUCACCUAACGAAUUCCUAACAGUCCCAUCAUACUUAACCAUGAUAUCUUCCAUAGCCUUCACCAAUCGCCUCUGAAUAUAUCCAGUCUCAGAAGUUUUCACUGCAGUGUCAAUAAGACCUUCCCUACCACCCAUGGCAUGGAAAAAGAACUCUUGAGGAGACAAUCCUCGAAGAUAUGAGUUCUCCACAAAACCACGACUCUCUGGACCAUAAUCAUCUUUGGUGAAGUGUGGAAGUGUGCGAUCCACAAAACCAAAAGGAAUUCGCUUGCCUUCAACAUUCUGCUGACCCACACAUGCAGUCAUCUGAGAAAUAUUGAUGAAACUUCCCUUAGACCCUGCAGUGACCAUAGCUUUGAGGUUGUUACUUUCUGCCAAGCUCUUCUGAGCACUGCUUCCAGCAUCAUCACGAGCCUUAUUCAACACCUGAAGGCACAAAACAUAUAUAAGGGAAUCACCAGGCUGCAGCAAGGAAAUCAAAAUUUUUAACAAACCUGGUUAACUCUGUUCUCGAACGAUUCCAUCAUUGUUCUUCCUGGCUCAGCUUCCAAUUGCUUUUCUUGUGCAGCCCUGAUAAGUUCAUUCACCUCAUUCUUAGCUUUGUUAAUAGUUUCAGAGAUCUUCGUCAUUGUAUCAUGAUCAGCAAUUGUAUCUCCAAUUCCCAUGCUAAAAGCGUUCUGCAAAAGCCAAUAAUUGACCAGCCAUUGUGUAUGUCCCAAAAAUUUCCGAGCUGCAUCUGGACCGACUUCUUCCCUGAGACCAGUAUACAUUAUAUUAAACACAUAAAUAUGAAUAAAGAAUCUUUCGGGCUUUCAGUUCAUUAUUAUAAUAUUUAUUACUCCUUGUUUCAUGUGCCAUAUCAUAUGUUUUGAUGUCACAAAUGCUAUAAUAUUCACACAGAAGAGCUACUAGAGUGGAGGAAGACUGAUAUAUGCAAAAGCUAAAUUGUUAAAGAGUACAGAAAUUUUCAAUAAGAUACUCAUGUAGUUUUAAACUUCUGAAGAAAAUUAAUCUUCUCUUCUACAAAUUCCGAUGGAGUAAGCAAAGGAACACUUUCUUGAAAUGGCAUUAGUUUUAUUGAUAUCUAUAAUGAGUGCAAGCAUGGAGAUUGAUAAAGUGUUUUGUCUGCAAAGAAACAGUACCCAUUUUUUUGUGCCAAAAGGAGAAUCUUUUUGCUAGUGAAAAGAGAGGGUAUUUCAUUGGUAACUCAAGCAAGUUCUUUUGAAAGUAUUACUUCUUCAAUCAACAUAUUGCGAGUUCUGACUCAUUUGCGAGAUCCUAGAAUAUAUAAAUAAAAGACACCAACUUCAUUUAAAGUAUUUGCAUACAUAUGCUCCCAAUCCCCAUUGCCCAUAGAGCAAUGGACCAAUUUAAUACAACAUGAAUUCUUCAGAAGAUAAAAGUGAAAGUCAUGCUUUUGCUCUUAAAUUUAAGGUUGAACGAAAAAUGUGACCCGCAAACAGCCCCAUACCUCCAUUUUACCCAACUUUCCACUUAUUACAUUUUGCUACUAGAUACUUCAGGUAUGUUACCCGCAAUCAGCCCCAAUUCAUAAUAUGGAUAAGUUGGGUGGGCGUUUAGGAGACAAUAGUUUCCUUUCAAAACCCACCAAAUGCAGAAAUGGUACUGCAAAAAUUCCAGAAAGAACGUACCAAAUAACAUGUAUGAGACUUCCACUAGAUGACCCGAGUGUUUUCUUGCAUAGGGUGCCUGAAAGUAACUCCCCUUUUUCUAUCCGUACUUGAGUAUCCCCAGGAGUAAUAAAUCCUUUUUCAGUUUCUUGAUGCCAUGAAGAAUACCUUAAUAGAUUUAUCUGUCUUGGAAUGAUUAAAUUAAAUACUUGUUUCCCAGUCCAAAGAGGCUUAGGUUUCAGAAUUGUUGGAGCAGGUACUUUGCCAUCAAAAUCCUCCCACCACAUAAGGAUGUUCAUAAAAACAUCCUGCGAACAAUACAGACAGCGAUAUCAGAUUGAAUGUGGACACUUACCUAAAAAUUACAUAAUGAUGACAGAAAAUCAAAUGUUACCUUGUCAAUAAAAGUAUCUCUCUUAGUGAUUUUGCGACAUCCUAGUAGUGUAUCCUGCACAAUACCCAUUACAGGUCGAUUUGAUUGAGGUGACACGAUGCAUUUUGGAACCAUCAUUAAUUCCAGAACUUCGGCUCUAGUUUCAAAUGACUGGGGCACGUGCAUAUUCAUUUCAUCUCCAUCAAAAUCAGCAUUGUAGGGUGAGGUAACAGACAGAUUUAAGCGGAAUGUUGAAUAUGGCAUAAUCUUGAUUCUGUGGCCCAUAAUGGACAUCUUAUGGAGACUCGGUUGCCGAUUGAACAGGACAAAGUCUCCAUCAUUUAAAUGUCUCUCAACCUGUACCAUCAAAUAAUAGGAAUCAGGUGUCAAAAGGAAUCCAAUGCUUGAUCAUUCUCAAUUAUAUAGCUGGGAGUCUCACCUUAUAUCCAAGUUCUAGAUGCUGAUCACUACUCUUUUUCAAGUACCGGAGAUCAAGCCUCUGUCCAUCAUCCCUAAUAAUAUAUUUUGCGCCAGUUUUACCAGGAGGGGGAUGAGGUCCAUAUUCCACAAGCUCUUUCAAUCUAUUUUCAAGGUCAAUAUCUGGUUAACAAGAAUAACCAAAAAGUAUAGAGGGAUCACUAUCAAGAAAUAUGGUAAGAGUGCCUAACCUUUCGAUGUUAUAUGGAGUUACAGUUUCAGGAUAUGUAAGAUUUAAGGCAAUACUCCAAGGCACACCCAGCUGGUCGAUGUUGAUUGUUGGGUCAGGUGUAAUCACAGUCCGAGCCGAAAAAUCUACUCGCUUACCCAUCAAGUUACCUCUGAUCCUACCAUCUUUUGCCUUAAGCCUGCUACAUAUUGAUUUAAUGGGUCUGCCAGAUCUUUGGGUAGCCUGAUGUAUACAAGGAUACUUCACUUGUUAGAUAAAUGAUGUUCCAGGAACUGCAUCCACAGUCUCAAUAUACUGAAAUAAUAUAACAUACUCUUGGUUGACCAGGUAAAUCGUUAUCAAAGUAUGUAGCCACAUGGAACUGCAGCAACUGUGCAAACUCAGAGAUGAUGUGUGCAGGAGCCCCAUUCCGCUCCUGCCUCUUUAAGUUCUCAUUAUGCCUAAUGAUCAUGGCCAGUUGAUGAGUUAAAUCAUCCUGCAUAAAUUGAUUCAAUUAUUAGAUUCUCCUGCAACUUAAAAGCAGCAAUCCGAGGAACAUGCAAUUGAUUGACUUGAUCAGUUUGCAGUGAACAGAACCCGAUACACUUAUCUGACCUAAAGGAACAAUUAGGGGUAAUCUAAACACCCAUGACAUUGUAGAGAUCAAAAGGAGAAGUCAUGCCUCACUCCGAGAAGAAGUAUCCAUCAUUACAGAAGGCCUAACUGGAGGAGGAGGGAUUGGAAGAACUUGAAGAAUCAUCCAGUCAGGGCGAGCAUAUUUUGGAUUCAAGCCCAACAACUGACAAUCUUCAUCAGUAAUUCUCUUCAGUAUGCUGAGCACCUGAAACAAAAAGGAAAUAGAGAUUGUUGGGAUUAGCGCAUAAAUCAAUCUAUCACAUUAUCCAGGCUGGAAAAAAAAGUUUGAAUCCCUAUUCUCUGGCAAUUUAUGAUAUAUGAUACCUUCUCUGCAGAGAGAAGUUGUUUUCGUUCAACAGGUUCAGGCAUCUGGUCCUGGUCAUCACUUUUCUUCUUCUGAAUCUUGUAUUCAGCAACCAUUUUCAUCCCAUCUAUAGAAAUCUUUGGCUGCUGAGCACCGCAUCCACCCCUAGACUUCUUCACAGGUUCUUCCGAAUCUUGACCUCGCACAUCGAUCUCAUCACCUCCUUCACAUUUGGAUUUGUUUUUGCAGGCAUCUAAUAUCUUCUUUAAUCUAUUCUUAGGGUUUCUAAUUCUCAUUGCUUGCUUGAACUUGGGAUCGUCCUAGAAAAAUUAACAAGGGAUCAAAAUACAUUGCAAAAGAAAACGAUUGUUCCAACUUCCAAGUAACUUUAUUUCCAUUUGAAGUAUAAUAUUCAGGCAAUAAUGAAAAUAACUAACUUUUACAACAGCAACACUCCUAGGAGAUGCAUCCAGAUGAUGAAAUACCUCAAACUGCUUCUAUCUUACCAAUAUGCAUUUCUAUAAAAGUAACACAAUUAUUGAAGACAUAACAGAACCUAGAAGCCUAAAACUGGAUCGUUGCUAGUCAUAAGUCUUACUAUCCAGUCACUCUUGCAAGUAAUAAGAAUGUUACAAUUAAAUCAGUUGCCCAGUUCAGGAUGGUCAUGAAUAAGACAGAAGUCUGACCCUCCUAGUAUACGAACAUAUACAUGAAAUAAGCAUUUUCCGUGAAUCCAGCAUAUGUUAUACACUUCUGAAAAAUUCAGUCUGCUACUCAGGCCUCACAACAGCGGAAUCAAUAGUCAUACCCAAUAUGAACCAAGUGAGCAUGACUGUACAAAUUCAUACUACUUAAACCGAAAACGUCCAUAACUUCAAUCUAACUACUCGGGAAAUGUACAAUACCUCAUCCGCUAAAAUCUUAGAGCAAUUGAAGCAGACACUGCGGAGAAUACUGAGCACAGUCUUCAUGAAGCCAAUGUGAAACAUAGGUUUGGCGAGCUCAAGGUGACCGAAGUGACCGGGGCAGUCAGCCAUGUUCGCCAUACAAGUCUCGCACUUCAUCUUCCGAUCAAUCGUCCCCAGACGCGGGUCGCUCAAACCACCGAUCUUCGGCUUGCCUCUUUCCGUCGUCUCGCUGUGCUCUAUAUGCACAACAGACAUUUGUCUCUACAAAACACACCAUAAAACAAUAGACCAUCAUUUCCAACUCAAUCACACACUCAAUGCCGAAACUGAAAGUUCAAAACAUUCAAAGAAGUGAGAAUUACGAUCUCAUCGGGGCUGAGAAUGCCGAAUUGGACGACGCGGACUUUCGCGACCUCUGCCGGCGAGAAGGGGAACCGCAGAUCCAUUGCGACACCGGAGAUUCUACCCUAGGGUUUUCGAUUAUGAUUUAUUAUGCUAGCUGAUAUAUAAUAAUUCCAAAAUUAGAAACAAAUAUGGUUUUCAAGUACUUCAAAUUAUUCGCGGUUUCUGUUAAGUAACUGAUUUUUGGGGUUUUUGAAGAAAACUUUUUUCACGCUGCGCUCUUCUCUGAAGGAGGAGAGGCGGCUUUGAGACCAAAGAAGAGAAUGAGGGGUUGAAGGGGUAUUUAAAGAGAUGGAUGGCUUCGAAGUCGGCGCUUAAUGGGGUUGUUUGGCUACACAGUUAUGAGCUGGACAUCUUCCUCUCGUUUGGUCCAUCUAUUAAAAAAUCUUCUUAAUCUAUUUUUAAACAUAAUUUCAUCAACUAUUAUCCUUAUAAUUUUCAUUUUUUGUAAGACUCAUUUUUCACUUAUCAAGUAUACAAUUAAUUUUUAUUAAAAUUCAUGUCACCCUCCUUUAUAAAGAUCUUUGAGAAAUGAAGGGAGUGUUAAUUCCAAAUAUUUGGUAAAAUAAGUACAUAAAUACUCAUUUCGUCCCAACUUUUAGUAUCAAUUUAAGAAUGACACGUGUUUUAAUAAAGUUGUUAAGUGUGUUGUGAGUGGAAUAAGGGUCUCGCAUUUUACGUGAAUGUUAAAAUAAUUAAAGUGGAGUAAGGGUCUCACCUACUUUUACUAAAAAUAAAAAUGAAUAUCAAAAUAUGGAACGGCCAAAAAAGGAAAUAUGAAUACUAAAAGUUGGGACGAAGAUAGUAGUUUACAAGCUCUACAAAUAAGUUUCUACAAUUUAUAAGCUUUUCAAACUACAAACUUUUUACCAUAAAUUACUUUUUCAUAAUUUUAUACUUCCUUCAUCCCAAUUCNCUUAUAAUUUUUCAUUUUUUUGUAAGACUCAUUUUUUCACUUAUCAAGUAUACAAUUAAUUUUUAUUAAAAUUCAUGUCACCCUCCUUUAUAAAGAUCUUUGAGAAAUGAAGGGAGUGUUAAUUCCAAAUAUUUGGUAAAAUAAGUACAUAAAUACUCAUUUCGUCCCAACUUUUAGUAUCAAUUUAAGAAUGACACGUGUUUUAAUAAAGUUGUUAAGUGUGUUGUGAGUGGAAUAAGGGUCUCGCAUUUUACGUGAAUGUUAAAAUAAUUAAAGUGGAGUAAGGGUCUCACCUACUUUUACUAAAAAUAAAAAUGAAUAUCAAAAUAUGGAACGGCCAAAAAAGGAAAUAUGAAUACUAAAAGUUGGGACGAAGAUAGUAGUUUACAAGCUCUACAAAUAAGUUUCUACAAUUUAUAAGCUUUUCAAACUACAAACUUUUUACCAUAAAUUACUUUUUCAUAAUUUUAUACUUCCUUCAUCCCAAUUCAAUAGGCCACAAGACAAGGCUUGGACAUGGAUAUUAAGAAGCGAAUAGUUUAUAAUAAAAUACGAGAGAGAAAGUAGCUUUUUUUAGAGUAAAUUUGUGAAAAAAGUAGGAGAGAGUAGAGAUAAUUUUGUGGGAUCACAAUGAUAUUUGAUGUACAUAAUGAGUUGUGCGAAGGUGUUUGUUAUAUACUAUGAUUUUUUAUUUUAGGAAGUGACCUAUUGAAUUGGAACGUCCAAAUAAGGAUUCAUGACAUAUUUAAAUGGAACUGAGGGAGUAAUAUAUUUUACAAAAAUUAUUCAAUUAUACUUUAUUACUAUUUUCAUCAUAUACACUUUAAACCACUUUGCAAAAAUUAACUCAAUCAUAUAAAUACUUUCACAACUUAUAAGCUCUUACAAAAAUACAUUUUUAAAAUUUUUGAAACAUUUUAUAAAUUGCUACAAUUAUAAAUUUCUUAAAAUAAGCUUAUCCAAACAUCCCCUUAAUUCUACAACAAAAUUUUAACAAAUGGAGUAUAAAUGAGCUAUGAUUGGUAACAUAUUUUUCCUACAAAAAUAAUAAGCGAUAGGUAACAUAACUAGCGUGGGAACUAAGAAUCAAUCUGGUCUAUUAAUUUGAUUAAAUGAUCAUGAUUGAUUUCCAUAUUGAACAAUACAUAUAUAUGAUAAUGCAUCAGUUUAUGCCAGAAAUUAUGCCAUGCUGAUAAAUAAUACUCCAUUCGUCCCAAACGAAAUGUCCUAUUUCUUUUCGGUACGGAAAUUAAGAAAUGUGUAUAAAAUAGAUUAAGUGGGUUGGUGAAAAUUAUUUAAAUAUUAAGUAUAGAGAGAGAGUGUAGUGCCAAAAAAGGAAACAUGACAUUUCGUUUGAGAUAGCCCAAAAAGGAAAACAGUACAUUUCGUUUGGAACGGAGGGAGUAUAGUGCAUACUUAUAAUAAACAACGUAGUUUUAAGUGUGGUGCCCACUUCGGGGGAGCUUGUUGGAUUUAUAAUAAACGACGUAGUUUUCAUAUAUACAAAAAAUCCUCUUCCAUUGAGAUGGUUUCUUACAUUCUUGGCUUCAGCUGCGCAUGGCUUAUCUAUGCAUGCAUUAUUUUAGUUAUAAGCAAUUUAGUAAAUAAAAUAACAAAAUGGAUGGAUUAACAUUGCCACAAAACAUGAUGACACUAUUAGUAUUUUACUUCAAAGGGGAAGAAAAAAAAACUUUAUACGAAUGAAAGAAUGCCAUGUUAAACAAUCUCUCUUAGCCAAAUUGGAAAGCUAUGAGACCAAACAAAUGGACUACAAAUUAAAAAAGAGGUUAUAAAGUGACACGGGACUUAUACGCCACGUGCGGAGUUCAGCUGCCCGACUGCCGGAGUUCAGCUGCCCGACUGCCGGCCUGGUAUGAAAAUGAUUGGGUUAGGGUAGGGUGUCCCAUGCAACAAAUCCUCAUUCCACCUUCCCUUUGUCAGUUUCAUUUACCACACUAAGCCAUGUAAACAAUACCAACACAAUCACAAAAUCAGCAAAUCUAUUCGAACUCGCUUGGCCUAUGGUGAAAGCAGGAUGGAAAAGAAAGCAAAAUAAGCAAAGGUAAAUAUACCUGCUUGGACUGGAAGGAGAAAAAGAUGGUGAUGUUGGGCUGCAAAACCACAGAAAAUAAUAUGUCAAGGUAGCAUUUGAAAGAGAGUUUCACCAGUUCAGAAUAUAUCCUAGUCUUGUCGGGGAAAUAAAACAAAAAGAGUAAUACUCUAGGGAACAAUUUAUCCAGCUUCCUCUGUGGACAAUCAAGUAUAGAAACAGAGUAAUACAUUUAACCAAGGUUAUAUUUGUUAGCAAACUUGAAGAGCAAAAAUUAAAAUAAGGCUUGCCAAAAGUUACCUGAGACUCGGAGAAUAUGGACUGUACGGACUUGAAGGUGUGAUUUUUGGACUUGUAGGUGAAUAUGCUUGUGAAGGGCUAUACCUUGCUGAAGGAUUGUAACUUGGUGAGGUCAGACUGUAAGUCGGUGAGGUGGGACUGUAUCCAGGUGAAGUUGGGCUGUAGGCAGGAGAGGUAGGGCUGUAUGAAGGUGAGGUUGGGCUGUACGAUGGAGAGGUUGGGCUGUAAGAUGGUGAGGUUGGGCUGUAAGAGGGAGACGUGGGGCUGUAAGCCGGAGAAGUUGGGUUAUAAGCAGGUGAGGUUGGGCUGUAAGAGGGAGACGUGGGGCUGUAAGCCGGAGAAGUUGGGCUAUACGCAGGUGAGGUUGGGCUGUAUGCUGGAGAAGUUGGGCUGUAGCUCGGAGAUGUAGGGCUGUAGCUCGGAGAUGUGGGGCUAUAGCUAGGAGAUGUUGGGCUGUAGGAAGGAGACGUUGGUGAAUAAGAUGGGCUUGUGGGAG
This 12163-nucleotide long non-coding RNA is filed under the name Salvia miltiorrhiza (redroot sage). RNAcentral's name for it is "long non-coding RNA (SMIL_LNC006841)". The record is from RNAcentral. Lineage: Eukaryota; Viridiplantae; Streptophyta; Magnoliopsida; Lamiales; Lamiaceae.